GCCAGGCAUGGUGGCACAUGCCUGUAGUCCCAGCUACUUGAGAGGCUGAGGCAGCAGGAUCUCUUGAGCCCAGGAGCUCUGGGCUGUAGUGCACUAUGCUGGUCAGGUGUCUGCACUAAGUUUGGCAUAAAUAUGGUGACCUCCCAGGAGAGGGAGGUCAGAAAUGGAGGAGGUCAAAAUUCCAGUGCUGGUCAGUAGUGGGAUUGCACCUGUGAUUAGCCACUGCACUCCAGCCUGGGCAACAGUGAGACCCUCU
Molecule: signal recognition particle RNA, 256 nt
Filed under: Aotus nancymaae (Ma's night monkey)
Lineage: Eukaryota; Metazoa; Chordata; Mammalia; Primates; Aotidae
Description: Metazoan signal recognition particle RNA (ENSANAG00000009913.1)
Rfam family: Metazoan signal recognition particle RNA
About the family: The signal recognition particle (SRP) is a universally conserved ribonucleoprotein.
Source: RNAcentral